This 14421-nucleotide long non-coding RNA is filed under the name Chlamydomonas reinhardtii. RNAcentral's name for it is "long non-coding RNA (CREI_LNC001115)". The record is from RNAcentral. Lineage: Eukaryota; Viridiplantae; Chlorophyta; Chlorophyceae; Chlamydomonadales; Chlamydomonadaceae.
AGGUAUAGUUUUUGUGUUAGGAGAAAGGGCUAUCUCACCGAGCUCGGCACGUAUGCUUGAUUAACUGCAGUGCGUGCUUCGUUUGACUUGUCGAACGUAGCGGAUUUCACGAGUAUGCGACACGCGCUCUUGGAGAUCCUGCUGGGUAUUGCACGGCAUGCAGCAUUGCGAUGCACCUGCGGUGGCGGCGGCACUGGCCGGGCUACGGCUGCAGGGGCCCAGCGGCGGCAUCCACAUGCAAAGCGGAGGGAGCAGGCAACACCUCGUGGUGGAGGAUAGCGUGGCGCCGCUGGAAAGGCGGCGCUGGCGUGCAUGUCACGGCCGGUCGGCGUUUGGUUGUGGGUAGGGGCGAGCACAGCAUUUGUUGUACAAUAUCAGCAGCCUAAUGACGGCUGUGUGACGGCGGUUGGAAUGUAUGUGGAUGUGUAGCAGGAGUGCUUCUUGAAGCCCGCUUCUGGGCGCUCAUCUGCUGCGUGAAAGUACUUGUGGACGCCGGAGAAGAGGAUCUGCUGGGCCCAACGUAGGCAGACGGGCGGGAACAUAGAGCGCAAAACCUUUAGACCGCAGUUGUCGUGUACGGUAUGUUGAGUAAAAUCCAUUCGGGGACGCGGUGUGCCGGUUGCCGCGGCGGUGUUCCUGACACCGUGACUUGCAGAGGCGGUAUGGUAAAGACGGUAACGGCUCCGUGUGAGUUGGAGCCACAGUUACGUGUGUGCAGCGCGCCAAGCUCGGGUUUCGCAGUGGGGCUAUAGGGCCUUAGGUGCUGACGUUUUGUCAGGUUGGCGUUGAGUUCUGCUUCGGCCGCAAGUGUUGGGCAAAGGUUGGUCUUGGGGCUAUGCCUGCCUCGUCCGGCCGUACGUGGUCCGGGACGGAGGCAGUGCCAAGCAACCCGGUCUCACCCGGGGCGUGCCCAUACACGCGGCACCGUCCAAAGCCCAAACCAUCCAAGAUUCCUAUGCAUGGAAUAUGUAUGCUAUGAAUAAAAGCUGAAAUGGGGCCUGGGGUGACCUGUCCGCUCGCCGAGCUCGCGAAAUGCAGCGACAUGCCCCGACUAUGUGCACGAAGGAGUGUAUGUGGUGGCGCGGUCAUUGGCUCAUUGCAGGCGGCGCUGGCCGGGGGGCUGCUGGAGGCGCUGCUGGCAAAGGGCCUGGGGGUGGGGCACGCCGGCGUUAGGGUGCAUGGGAUGCUGCGCAGUAGCUUCGUCACGCUGGUGGCAGACGAAGGGCUGAGAGAGGGGUAUGCAAGGGGCACGUGCGAAAGGAAGCUUGGUCGCGGCACAUGCAAUGUGGCGUCAGGUUGACUUGGAAAGACUUCGGCUUCCCUAGAAUCCAAUUGUUCAUUGUGCGUCCAUUGUGUACUGUCUUUCGCCAUCGGUACGCGCCACUGUGCCACUCGCUUAAAGGUCUUCCACAUCGUACGUCAGACGCCACGACGUGGGCAUCCCAUACCGAUCCACAGUGCUGGUAUUGCUAAGCCAUGUGGUCCAAAGAAACGUAAAGAAAGCACCGCCUAGUGUCGUCUACUUAGUCUCCAUGCCGCCAGGUCUCCAAUUCGUCAAUGGCAGUUAAUAAAUUCGUGGCGAUUCAGUGAGGGGCUGAGGGUUUACCCUCCACUGGGCAUGAGCGCCAGCAAGCAAGCUCAAUCCCGGAUCCCCGUGCCGGCUAGACACCUUCAUGCCAUCGGCAAAUAUCGCUUACAUUGCAGGUGCGCAGGUUCGCGCUUGGCGGUCACCCGGCUCCGUUCACAGCCGCAUUCCGUGCCACUGGCGUGGUUCAUUUGGGCCUGGCGUCGACAGUCCGACACCUUAUAUAACCCUGCUGCCGCCACGACACACGCCACCGCAACACGGGAUGCCUGACCAACCAACAUGCUUAAUGUUACCCCUCCACCGCUGCCCCCAAGAGCUGACCCCUGAUGUGCGCCACACCCACAGCCCGCCGGCAGGUGAUGCACGCACGUUCCGCACUACCGUACUGACCCUGCCGCCUCACGCGGCCUUGAGCGCCCGAAUGGCGGGCGCCAGCGAGCUCUGCUGCUCCAGCUCCCACAUGCUGCCGCCCUCCACCACCCGCUUCAGCUCGCGGGACUUGUGCGCCAGCCGGCACCAGUCCACUGCGCGGCGCGGCUGGGGCUGUGCUGGCACACAGCGGAGGCGGGAUUCAGGAUGGGGCGGGGCGACGUGAGUAACGGUUACAAUAAUGUUGCUGGCCAGCAGUGUUCCUGCAAAAGGUGGGCAUAUGAAGAGCGGAGAGGAUGGCGUGUCCACUCACCGCCGCCAGGUUGCAGGUGGGAUCGAUAGGGUGCAGCACCACCACGGUGUCAUUCCGCCACGCGUGCCUGCAGCUCUCCGCUUGCGCCCGGGUGUAGCCCCACACCGGCCCCGCCUCCAGCACCACCACUUUCCGGUCCGAUACUGCCUCGUCCAGCAACUCCAGGGCCGCCAGGAACAGAGACACCUCUGCGGUGCGACUGUGGAAGGCGUUGCAAGCCAUGGGUUUUGGGCCUCCGGGUAUGUAAGAAUGGUGUUAUGCAAAGGGCACGCCAUAGCAUGAAGGCGCGCAUCAGGGCGGGGAGGGUUACAAACAAAAGUCCCCGACCCCACCCUGCAGAACCUCCCGAUCCCCCAUGACCGACGACCGACGGUGCCGUACCGUGCCGUACACCCCCUAAAUCCCCUCUGGUUGUUUCCAGGAUGGUGCCAAACGACUGCUUGCUGCGAGCUAUAAUAACAUGCAAACACGGAAGUUCGCACGGGACCACAGGCAUGUUUAGAGGCAUGUUGACGUGUGGACAUCUUGUGGCCGUUCAGUUGCACCCAUGUACGCAUGGGACAUAGCGAGGGCCCAUAUCUGGUUUUGGGACUGCACUGUUGCGCUGUCACAGCGGGAAAGUAUGGGGAUGGCUCUGGGUUUCCUGCCGGAGGAGGCUCUAAGUGCCUUCUCUCGUGAGGAGUUGUGGUUAGUGUGCCCGCCUGCGGGGCUUGCGCCAGCUGUGUGGGAUGUGGUGUGUCUCGCUGCUAUGUCUGCCCUGGACUUUGGUCGGCAGCGUGCGGUUAUGGCCGGGUUGGCGGCGCGAGCGAAGCUGCCGUCGGCCCAGGUGCUGAGCAUUGGACUUGCCGUCGUAGCUGACUUCUGGGCUCGUCUCCAGACGUUUGUGACUUUGGGUAUCAGGCCAAAGGGUUGGGACGCUGUGCCGUUUGCGCAUCCUUUCAUAUCUCGGGCUGUUGGUGACGGCAUGGUUUUGCGCUUGCCGUAUGAUGCUGAUUACUCCCUGAUCAGAACUCUAAAACGAAUUCUGAGCGCUCUCAUCAGGCUCUUUCCAUUUGAAGGGUGGGGUGUGUCUGCGGCAUCCUUACCCCCCCUCCCCAUGCACGCAUCGUCCUAAAUUCCAAGCCAUGUCUCCGCAAGCACCCUAUGCACCCAGUGCUAGGCACGCACGCUCACUCUUGCUUGCCGGGGCUGAGCAGGCCCUUGCGUUGCGCCGCCGCCAGCACCACUGUCUCCAGCAGCACGCUGGGCACGUUCGGUAUCUCCGCUUGGAGGCCGUACUUGUACCAGCACUGCAUGCACACAUGAUAACAGUGACCCCGCACGCACGAUGUUGCAUUGCGCCUCUCUCACGCAGUAAAAGCACAAGCUAUUUUUGCACGUGCCCAUUAUGCUGCAGGUUUGCAACCCGUAGCACAACAGCCAAACAGCCAACAGCCACACACGGGUGCUCACCUUGAUAAGCCGCACCAAGCUCUUGACACGGUCAUGCGUGUCCUUGACCACCGCCGUCAGCGCCUCCGCCAGGGCCGCCUCGCGAGUUGGGUCCGCCUGGCGCAGGUGCGGCGGCGUGUCCCAUAGCGUCUGCAUCAGCACGUCGCGCUGCGCCUUGCCGCGGUCAGGAGUGGUCGCUUGCUUGCCUGCCGCCGGACAAAUCGGGACAGAUGGUGAUGUAACUGUAAUGGUUAUCGGUACUUUGGUUUCGAUGUCUCCGACAUGCAUACUGUGGCUGGCUAUACCGGCGCCCAUCCUACACACACACACACACACACACACACACACACACACACACACACACACACACACACACACACACACACACACACACACACACACACACACACACACACACACACACACACACACACACACACACACACACACACACACACACACACACACACACACAUACACAUACACACACAUACCCUGCUGGGACGCCACGUGCGCCGCCAUCUUGACGUCCACGUCCACGCCACGCACCUUUACCUGCGGGGUGCAUGCCGUGCCAAGCGGAGGAGGCCGACGGUGACAAUAAGGUUGCGAUAUUACAAAGAAGGGACAAUCCGACCAAGCAAGGGUGCCCAGCACCCAGGUCAAGAGGGACCAUCUCCGGCCCGAAAGGAAACCACCCUCCCCCCAGUCGGCUACCGACCUUCCACAACCGUGCAACAGGUCUUCGCGUAAAGCGUGUCUCGGCAACUGCACAGCGAGUCGAAGCUAAGCCAAAGCCCGCCAGAGCCCCACCAACGUACAGCAAACCGCACUAGCGCACGAGGCGCAAUCAAACCGGCGAGGCGUCAGCGCAGGUACACCGGGCACGUAGUCCGGCGACGCCCACGUCGACCCCCCACACCCACAGCGCACACACCAGAGGCACACCGCUCCCACCACCCACGAGCAAAUUAAGGCGAGGGGGGCGGGGAGCCCACAUCAUCAGGCAACACGAGCAGCACACAGUCACCCGCACCCCGCGAAAGGAACGGAUGGUGCGCAGGCACCGUGGCCCAGGCUUUCGGGCGGAGGCCGAGACUGACAUACGAUUGCAGCCGGCCCCAGAAAUCAGCAAUAACGGACACACUGAUGCGCAUGACUUCCGCCGACGUCAGAGCCCGACGCACACGCAAGCCAGUCAUAAUCACCUGCUGCCGGCCCGAGUCAAGGGCAGACAGCGCAGCCAAACACACUACAUCCCACACCGGCGGCGCCAGCCCAGCAGGCGGCUGCACCAGCCAAAGGUCAGCACGGGAGAAACAGUCAUCAGCCGUGUCAUUGCCAUAGCCAUGUUCUCCCGCAGCGCCCGAGCAACAACACAGUCCCAAAAGUAGUGCCGGCGGUCCCCAUCACACAUAUCCCGCCCACACGCCCGGCACAGGGGCAUUGCCACCCCAGCUGCACGCUGGGCGGCAUUUUUGGGGAACGACCAGCACGCAUUGGCCGCCACCCGCCACAACGCUUCCUUGUGAUAAUUUUCCCAUUUUAACGCCCACAAACGGGCCAGAGUGCCGGCAAAGGCGCCGGCAGCCGCAAGCGCGCCGUCCGCAGACACACCAGCAUCACGCACAUACAACAAAUGUUUAGACCGCAGCGCCGCAACCUGGGGGCCCAGUUGCAUGGUCGUUCCUGCCUUCACGGAGUAGUUCAACAGCAGCAGAGGCGGGCCCCCGUCCAGGACACAGCCCAGUCCCCGCACCACCUGGGUCAAGGCCCCCGCCGCCGCCUGUCGCACGGCAUCCGCAGGAAGCGGCAUGACCCACGCCCGCCCGCGAGCCAGUCGAGCCGCACGCGCCGCGGCCUCCCAGCCACCUGGGAGCAAGGCCACCGCCGCGGCUAUGCGGUCCGCCGCCGCCAGGGGCGACGCCGGCCCCAGGAGCGGCGACGGCAGGUGCCGCCGAGGUCCCCAUCCAAGCACAGGCCGCCACACGCUCGUCAAGUACAAGUCCAACAUCGCCUCACCAAACCUGGUGCCCCACCCACCCGGGCGGGUGUGGGCAGCACGCACGGCCUCUAACUGGUCAUGCGCCGCCACCAACUGUCCCACAUACACAAGGCCCGGCAGGGCAAAUAAAUCGGCAAACGCCACGUCAAAAGUCUGUGACAAUAAGGGGUUUCUGCAGGCGUGUCGAAUCCUGCUGUCGCUGCCCAAUACCCAGCACGGCAACUACAACGGGAAGUGAUGGAAUGCAUGUGCAAACGCUGUGAGGCCUUCCGUGCACCUUCCGUGCGUGUGCCACUCACGUUGACACAGUGCUUGUAGUGCGUGCCGUGCUCCACCUCCACCACGUCGUGCAGCCCCUGUCCCCGCAGGUACGCCGCCACCACCCGCUGCAUCUCGCGCUGCAGCCGCUCCCCCGCCUCGCCGCUCCAGUCGGCAACCUUGAGCGCCCGCUCCUGGAACUUAAUCACAAACACAGACAGGUCGACAUCAAAGGCCCCGCGCACGAGGGUGCGGCGCCCGAAGCUGCCGCCCUUGUGGAACCGGUCAACCUGUGGAAGGGAUGAAUGUAGGUGGGCCGCCGGAUCCACAGGACUCAAUAUGUGGCUGCAUUUUGAGUUAUAGACCCGCCUGUAGCGGAUGAGAUUGUUGGCUCACGGAACUGUGAUUCUGUGGGCGCCGGAGCCCAGGUGGCUGGGGCAGGCUAUCUAGCUACCGCGCGCGGCUACCGUACUUACGAUCCCGCUGAUCCCACACGAAUGCAAGCACCUUGAGGACUGGGCACUGCACCAGCAGCUUGUGAAUGAGGUGGUUGGCGGCCUGCGGCUCCGCAUUGGACACGCCCUGUGCCGUCAGCGGCCGCAGCUCCCCGUUGAAGUGGCGCACGUAGCUCUUGUCCCCACCGGGCGUGAGGUCCAGGUGCAUCUGCGCCGGUAGGUACCAGUGUCGCCCGUUAGAGGGAUGGGGUAAUGGGCGUGGAUUGAAACCCGAGACUGUGGUCGGGUGGCUGUGACUCCCUGUGCCCUCUCGUCUGCGAAAUGCAAGCAGCCUGAUAUAUGCACUCUCGUACGUACCAUCUUGAGUGUGCGGUGUGGGUCGCCAGCGCUGAUCGGUGGGAAGACCUGCAACGCAAGUGACCAGCGCCCAAAGGGGAUGUGACACGGUGGGGGUGUGACAUCGGUUGCCCGGUGCCCCGUAACACUGCCCGCACGCUCUCAGCCUGCCUGAUGGCUCCACAACACCGCCACACUCCUCCAUCUUCCGCUCUCUAGCUCACCUGCCUGAGGCGUUGUGCCGCAGCUGAUGCCUUGGAGAGUCGGGCCUGAGCUUCAAGGGCCUGGGCAAGGGCCUGGGCCUGGGCCACGAAGCUGUCGACCUGUGUCGACUGGGUCAUAGAGGUCGAUGUAAGUGACGCCAUCGUCAUCAUAAGAUCCCUUGGAUCGACAUCGUAGUCCUGACAAAAAUCAGGAUUCACUUUGCGAGCGUUGCAUGCAGGCGUUCGGCCGAGGCCUUCUCCGCACCUCGUCCUCGUAAAGCGCCCUCGCUAGCUUGAUAAAAUCAGAAUAGCUCAUGCUGCUUGAAUCUCCUUGCCUCGUGCGCUCGAAACGGUAGAUAGAGCUGUUGUUCAGUUGUCCACUUAAAAACAAACGAGGUUUGUCCUUGCUACCGAAGAUGUAAAAUAUAGCUGAACUGUAAUACAAGUCUGCUCAAUGGUGUACAUAUGGAUGAAGGACGCGUUUAGAAUGUUAAUGAACGGCAGCGGUUGACACGCGUGCCCGAUUGGGGCAUUCCCGCCAAAUCAAUGGUUGCUGCUAAUUGCCCAGUUGAGCUCAGCUGCAAGAAUAUGGCACGGCCACCGUGCCAUUGACUCACGUUGAUGCAGUGCUUGUAGUGCGUGCCGUGCUCCACCUCCAGCGGCUUUAAAGAGUUCAAACUAUGCCCACCGUCCUCCGCCUUCUCCCACCCGCGCCCCUCCCAUCAUCGUCCCCCCCCCUCCGCAGCCCUCAUGUCGCCCGCCUCACCCAACAUCGCGUCCAGCAAGUGGAUGUUGCCUCUGGGUGCCCGCCACCGCCAGUGCCGUGCCGCCCGCGUGCCCAGGCGUGCCAGGCCGCGCACCGCAGCCCACACAUUGAUAUGCUUGAAAGAACGCAGCCGCCCCUUGCUCCAGCCGCGCCAACACCCACCGCCGUACAUACGAGCGAAUCCGGCGAGUACGCAACGCACGCCUGGCGCCAGAGCACCUCGGCGCUGGUGCCGUCCAGGAAGGCGGCGAGGGUGCGCCAGGUGUUGGAUACGCUGUCACGAGCCCAGGCCAGAGAGGUCAGCUCCAUAGAGGGGCCGGCCACGGCGGUGUACAGAGCGCGGGGGGGGGCGGCCCUAGCCGGCGUCCGUAUUCCAAUCGACACAGGCUUUAGCAGCUACAGACGACACCUACCUGAGUGCAAACCAAUUGCAGCAUGUCCCAAAGCUCCACGCUCCCGCAUUCGUUCCCGCGACCCGUACGUGGCGUGUCGGUCGCGCGGAAGUUUGCGGAGAACCGUUAGACACUGUAUUUUGGACGGACUUACAACGUGUUGGCGACGGUUUAGCUACGCUCGCGGCCGUGAGCGAGUGAGCACUGAUGCAGCAAACCUUCGGCCCAUUUUAGUUGGUAAGAGCGCAGAACACGAGCAAAACACCAUAAGUAUUAAUUGCUAAUGCACACACAUAUAAAACUGCAAGCUUUCCACAUAAAGGUGCCCGCUGUCCCGCUUUCGCAUACGUCAAGUGAGUUCGAUUUUGCUCAAGUGGACAUUAUGAGGGUGACACUACAAGUGAAUCACCUGGUGUAGGGACUGGAAGGGGCACGGACGCAUAAUGGCCGAAGCUGGCCAGCGCUUCCCUCAACGGCAGCCGCAACAACAGCCGCAUCUGUUUGAGGAGAGCAGCUAUAGGCGCCUGCGACAGGCCCUGCUGGAAAUAGGCGUGCACCCGGAGCUGGCUUCACAGUUCUGACGACCUGGGCCUGCUCCUGCGCCACGGCUUUAAGGAUGCUCGGGGCCUUCUGAUCGCCAAGGUUAACAUCCUGCUACAGGUUGGGAUACGGGCUUUCUGCGCGAGUUGUAUCGAGACGGCUCAACGUAAGUCGGGUUGUGUUUCGGUGUCAAUCUGUUAUGUGGGUAUCCGGAACGCCCAGCAUGUGUAGGCCUGGGCCUGGACCGGGUGGUGCCGGGCAACUUUGGGGCACUGCCCACACCCUCCCCUAACCUGUUUCCCAUUCCACUGUCCCACCGCAGAGCACGCGGCGGCGGCGCAGCAGAACGGGGUGGUGAACCCAGGCUGCGGGGUGGCACACCAAGGUGAAAUGGUCCCACAAAGUCGUGCAGCUCUGCGGUGCUCCUGGGCGGGUACUCCUGGGCGGGUGGUCCAGGGGCACCGUAAUGGCAUGCACUAACCUCAGCUGUCGGGGACGACCACGCGCGGAGAAUGGGGGUGCGCGUUUGUUGGCUCUUGCCUAUAUAUGAAUGAAGUCGCUUAUUGCAGUGCUCUUGCGCUUUGGUUUUCUCGGCAGGUGAACUGCUGCCGCUUGCCCAGGACGUUAAUGGCCCUCACGAUCAGGAUCAAUGUGAGUGCAUUGGCAUUUGGACGGCUUUCACAAUAGAGGCCAUUACUUGGCUGUUAUUUGCGCCCUUCUGCAUUCUGGGUCCCUUGAUCCAACACCCCCAAACGCAUGCGUCUGCCUCUGCUGACAGUGACAUCGGGCGGCUUCCCUUCUGCCUCCACCACAAAAUGGUGGCACGGCUGGCUGCCCUCCACCUCGCUGCGGGUCUCACAGUCGCAGUCACAGCCUGUGUCUGGCAGCACGCUAUCAUGUGAGGCGGUGGCGGCCUUGCCAUUGACAAGUGCGGUGCCUGAGGCGGACGCUGCAGAAAUGGACGUGCCUAGCAGUGGCUCAGCAGCAGCAGUCGCAGCAAGCCUCCAGCGUCCACAGCAGCAGUUGGGAACCUGCCGGCGCCGCCACGUGCACCGGCCCGCGCCUGGCCAGGAGCGUACUUGACAGCAUGCGACACGGAACAGCAGCGGCGAGGGCUAAGCGCGUGAGUCCUCGGUGUCUAAUCAUGAGACAUCGUCGCGGAGGAGGUGAACGCGGCGCAGUCAGUUGCAGCCGUGUCGAAUUUUAAUGGCAAUUCAAGCGAAGAUGCCUACCAACUACAGCAGCGGCACCAGAAGUUGCACAACUCUUCCAGCAGGAGCAACGGCUGGACGUUAGAAAUGCCCAAGCCUGCGGCAGCAGCUGGCACAGCACGGCGUGCUUGGCAGGUGGGCGGGGUUGGAAGCUGGGGACGUGACGGGACCAAGAUUGCUGGCAGGAGGGUGUAUAGAAGUGUCAGUCUGUACACUAGCUGGGCGCUUCUACGCGAAACGCCAUUUGCGCAACACGAGCAGGUAUAGUUUUUGUGUUAGGAGAAAGGGCUAUCUCACCGAGCUCGGCACGUAUGCUUGAUUAACUGCAGUGCGUGCUUCGUUUGACUUGUAGAACGUAGCGGAUUUCACGAGUAUGCGACACGCGCUCUUGGAGAUCCUGCUGGGUAUUGCACGGCAUGCAGCAUUGCGAUGCACCUGCGGUGGCGGCGGCACUGGCCGGGCUACGGCUGCAGGGGCCCAGCGGCGGCAUCCACAUGCAAAGCGGAGGGAGCAGGCAACACCUCGUGGUGGAGGAUAGCGUGGCGCCGCUGGAAAGGCGGCGCUGGCGUGCAUGUCACGGCCGGUCGGCGUUUGGUUGUGGGUAGGGGCGAGCACAGCAUUUGUUGUACAAUAUCAGCAGCCUAAUGACGGCUGUGUGACGGCGGUUUGAAUGUAUGUGGAUGUGUCGCAGGAGUGCUACUAGAAGCCCGCUUCUGGGCGCUCAUCUGCUGCGUGAAAGUACUUGUGGACGCCGGAGAAGAGGAUCUGCUGGGCCCAACGUAGGCAGACGGGCGGGAACAUAGAGCGCAAAACCUUUAGACCGCAGUUGUCGUGUACGGUAUGUUGAGUAAAAUCCAUUCGGGGACGCGGUGUGCCGGUUGCCGCGGCGGUGUUCCUGACACCGUGACUUGCAGAGGCGGUAUGGUAAAGACGGUAACGGCUCCGUGUGAGUUGGAGCCACAGUUACGUGUGCCGAACUCGGGUUUCGCAGUGGGGCUAUAGGGCCUUAGGUGCUGACGUUUUGUCAGGUUGGCGUUGAGUUCUGCUUCGGCCGCAGGUGUUGGGCAAAGGUUGGUCUUGGGGCUAUGCCUGCCUCGUCCGGCCGUACGUGGUCCGGGAUGGAGGCAGUGCCAAGCAACCCGGUCUCACCCGGGGCGUGCCCAUACACGCGGCACCGUCCAAAGCCCAAACCAUCCAAGAUUCCUAUGCAUGGAAUAUGUAUGCUAUGAAUAAAAGCUGAAAUGGGGCCUGGGGUGACCUGUCCGCUCGCCGAGCUCGCGAAAUGCAGCGACAUGCCCCGACUAUGUGCACGAAGGAGUGUAUGUGGUGGCGCGGUCAUUGGCUCAUUGCAGGCGGCGCUGGCCGGGGGGCUGCUGGAGGCGCUGCUGGCAAAGGGCCUGGGGGUGGGGCACGCCGGCGUUAGGGUGCAUGGGAUGCUGCGCAGUAGCUUCGUCACGCUGGUGGCAGACGAAGGGCUGAGAGAGGGGUAUGCAAGGGGCACGUGCGAAAGGAAGCUUGGUCGCGGCACAUGCAAUGUGGCGUCAGGUUGACUUGGAAAGACUUCGGCUUCCCUAGAAUCCAAUUGUUCAUUGUGCGUCCAUUGUGUACUGUCUUUCGCCAUCGGUACGCGCCACUGUGCCACUCGCUUAAAGGUCUUCCACAUCGUACGUCAGACGCCACGACGUGGGCGUCCCGUCCCGAUCCACAGUGCUGGUAUUGCUAAGCCAUGUGGUCCAAAGAAACGUAAAGAAAGCACUGCCUAGUGUCGUCUACUUAGUCUCCAUGCCGCCAGGUCUCCAAUUCGUCAAUGACACUUAAUAAAUUCGUGGCGACUCAGUGAGGGGCUGAGGGUUUACCCUCCACUGGGAUGAGCGCCAGCAAGCAAGCUCAAUCCCGGAUCCCCGUGCCGCCUAGACACCUUUAUUCCAUCACUAAACAUCGCUUACGUUGCAGGCGGCGCGCAGGUUCGCGCUUAGCGGUCACCCGGCUCUGUUCACAGCCGCAUUCCGUGCCACUGGCGUGGUUCACUUGGGCCUGGCGUCGGCAGUUUUUGUAACCAACGCGCUUGAUGUUACCCCUGCCGCCCGCCCAUCGCUGCCCCCCAGCGCCGUGCCGCCCGCGUGCCAGGCCGCGCACAGCAGCCACCCCUCGCUCCAGCCGCGCCAACACCCGCCGUACGAGUGAGUCCAGCGAGUGCGGACGCCUGGCGGACGCCUGGCACCAGAGCGCCUCGGCGAUGGUGCCGUCCAGAAAGGCGGCGAGGGUGCGCCAGGUGUUGGACACGCUGUCACGAGCCCAGGCCCGAGAGGUCAGCUCCAGGGAGGGGCCGGCCACGGUCUACAUGGCGGGGGUGGUGGGGGCAGCGGCGUCGGUCGCGGAGGCCGAUGCCGGGAGCUUUGCCGGGAUGCCGGGAGCUUUUAUUUUUGAGCCCAUGUGCCGGUCAUGACUUCACUCAACGGCUUGACAUCGUCGCAAGGAGCCUAGCCGCGGCAGCCCAAGCGGACGCCCAACCCCGCCGACACAGGUGGCAGGGUUUCGGCAUGACGCCGGAACUUCACGUCGUGACGAUCACCGUUCUGACCUAUAGGCAUUUACUAGCUCAUAAUCAUUGUAAAUCGCGUUUGAUAAAACUCGCUGGGAGGCGGAACCGCCCUUCCUCGAGGUCCCGCCGAUGACCGCCACGAGCGCCUCAGAGCAUCGCAACUAGCUUUGGGAUCGCUCGAUUUAUACAUCCUCGCACCACCGGCUCGCCGCGGGUUCGAUGGCGGCAAAUCAGCACAUCGGUAAGCACGGUGAAUGCAACUUACUGCCGAUCUGUGUUUGAUAGGCACAGGUCCCCGAGCCACGGUGGGCUCACUGUUCACCCACUGGUCACCCAGCUCCAGGCUUAAGAGAAGUUGCCGACGCGAAGGUUGAGGAGUUGCUGAUGUAAGCCCGCCGCCCGCCCUCGCCACCACGCCGCCUGGUCGCGACCCCACCCCACCCCGCCCCACCCCACCCUGGCUCCCCACCCCCGCCAGACCUAUCCGCUGUCAGCACGAGCGGCAGUGGCGACGAUGACAGCGAUAUUGGCACCACUGCAGCGGCAACACUAGGUAUCUGCUCGCCCACAUCCCCCACGCAAGGUCUCGCAUUACGUGCCGCUGCUCGUGCUGCUACUGGAUGGGACUUCGGUGGGCCACAGCGUGCGGCUGGCCGCUACGGUGCUGAGCUUCACCAACAGCGCGUACCGCAUGGCUCUGGGUCUGGGCCUGGACUUCUGGACUGCCCCCACACGGCGCCAGCUCGCGCACUGCUCAACAGCGCUGAUAACUUUCAAGGUGCUCGCGACUGUGCUUGUGGAUGGGGCCCAUCCUGAUUGUGUGGGUGGUGUCAUGGCUGCGGGGCGCACUGUUUGCCAUCUGGGCAGCAGCCCUAUAGCUAUGCUCAAGCACAUUGGCCAGAAUAGUGUCAAGAUGUUGCUGACUUAGCAGAGGAUAGCUCCCCCNNNNNNNNNNNNNNNNNNNNNNNNNNNNNNNNNNNNNNNNNNNNNNNNNNNNNNNNNNNNNNNNNNNNNNNNNNNNNNNNNNNNNNNNNNNNNNNNNNNNAGCUCCGCCGGCCACAACCCCGCUAUCCUCUGCUAAGUCAGCAACGUCUUGACACUGAUCUGGCCAAUGUGCUUGAGCAUAGCUAUAGGGCUGCUGCCCAGAUGGCAAACAGUGCGCCCCGCAGCCAUGACACCACCCACACAAUCAGGAUGGGCCCCAUCCACAAGCACAGUCGCGAGCACCUUGAAAGUUAUCAGCGCUGUUGAGCAGUGCGCGAGCUGGCGCCGUGCGGGGGCAGUCCAGAAGUCCAGGCCCAGAUCCGCAGCCAUGCGGUACGUGCUGAGGGUGAAGCUCAGCACCGUAGCGGCCAGCCGCACGCUGUGGCCCACCGAAGUCCCAUCCAGUAGCAGCACGAACAGCGGCACCAGCAGGAGGUGAGAAAUGCGCGACCUUGCGUGGGGGAUGUGGGGGGUAUAGUUUUGGUGUUAGGAUAAAGGGCUGUCUCACCACGCUUGGCACGCAUGCUUGACUGCAGUGCGUGCUUCGUUUGAGUUGUAGAACGUAGCAGAUUUCACGAGUAUGCGGUACGCGCUCUUGGACAUCCUGCUGGGUAAAGCGGCAUGCAGCAUUGCGAUGCACCUGUGGUGGCGGUGGCACUGGCCCGGCUGCGGCUGCGGCUGCAGACCGGAGCCCAGCGGCGGCAUCCGCAUGCGGAGCGGAGGGAGCAGGCAACACCUCGUGGUGGAGGACAGCGUAGCGCCGCUGGAAAGGCGGUGCUGGCGUGCAUGUCACGGCCGGUCGGCGCUUGGUUGUGGGUAGGGGCGAGCACAGCAUUUGGUGUACAAUAUCAGCAGCCUAAUGACGGCUGUAUGACGGCGGUUUGAAUGUAUGUGGAUGUGUAGCAGGAGUGCUACUAGAAGCCCGCUUCUGGGCGCUCAUCUGCUGCGUGAAAGUACUUGUGGACGCCGGAGAAGAGGAUCUGCUGGGCCCAACGUAGGCAGACGGGCGGGAACAUAGAGCGCAAAAC